Molecule: transfer RNA, 64 nt
Filed under: Salinator rhamphidia
Lineage: Eukaryota; Metazoa; Mollusca; Gastropoda; Amphibolidae
Description: tRNA-Phe
Source: RNAcentral
UAUCGGAUAGCUUACACUAAAGCGCAGCACUGAAGCUGCUGAGAAAGAAUUACUCUUCCGCUAA